AUUGAACGCUGGCGGCAGGCCUAACACAUGCAAGUCGAACGAGUGGCGGACGGGUGAGUAAUGUCUGGGAAACUGCCUGAUGGAGGGGGUUAACUACGGGAAACGGUAGCUAAUACCGCAUACCAUCAGAUGUGCCCAGAUGGGAUUAGCUUGUUGGUGGGGUAACGGCUCACCAAGGCGACGAUCCCUAGCUGGUCUGAGAGUAUGACGGGCCACACGGGACCAGAGGCACGGUCCAGACUCCUACGGGAGGCAGAAGUGGGGAAUAUUGCACAAUGGGCGCAAGCCGGAUGCAGCCAUGCCGGUUGUAUGAAGAAGGCCUUCGGGUUGUAAAGUACGUUCAGCGGGGAGGCGUUACCCGCAGAAGAAGCACCGGCUAACUCCGUGCCAGCAGCCGCGGUAAUUC
Molecule: ribosomal RNA, 406 nt
Filed under: uncultured bacterium
Lineage: Bacteria
Description: partial 16S ribosomal RNA
Rfam family: Bacterial small subunit ribosomal RNA
Source: RNAcentral